GAUGAACGCUGGCGGCAUGCCUAACACAUGCAAGUCGAACGGCAAGACAGUAAGCGCGUGCCCUUACGGGUGGCGAGUGGCGGGCGGGUGAGGCGUGCAUCGGAAUCUACUUUUUCGUGGGGGAUAACGUAGGGAAACUUACGCUAAUACCGCAUACGAUCUACGGGUGAAAGCAGGGGAUCUUCGGACCUUGCGCGAUUGAAUGAGCCGAUGUCGGAUUAGCUAGUUGGCGGGGUAAAGGCCCACCAAGGCGACGAUCCGUAGCUGGUCUGAGAGGAUGAUCAGCCACACUGGAACUGAGACACGGUCCAGACUCCUACGGGAGGCAGCAGUGGGGAAUAUUGGACAAUGGGCGCAAGCCUGAUCCAGCCAUACCGCGUGGGUGAAGAAGGCCUUCGGGUUGUAAAGCCCUUUUGUUGGGAAAGAACAGCUGCAGGUUAAUACGCCGCUGUUCUGACGGUACCCAAAGAAUAAGCACCGGCUAACUACGUG
RNAcentral lists this ribosomal RNA (492 nucleotides) under uncultured bacterium. RNAcentral's name for it is "partial 16S ribosomal RNA". It matches the Rfam family "Bacterial small subunit ribosomal RNA", at positions 28 to 507 of the family's 1533-position model. The record is from RNAcentral.